Long non-coding RNA from Orcinus orca (killer whale), 2586 nucleotides. RefSeq lists it as uncharacterized. The transcript is spliced from 2 exons. The record is from RefSeq and is a predicted model, not a curated record. NCBI's taxonomy places the organism in Eukaryota, Metazoa, Chordata, Mammalia, Artiodactyla, Delphinidae.
UACUGUCUGGACAAGAGAUACUGAGAGUCUGAGCUGAGGCAACAGCUAUGGGGAAGAGAGAAAGGCAUAGAUUUGGGAAAUAUUAAGGUUACAAUAUCCAUACAGUUUAGGGCUUCCCUGGUAGCACAGUGGUUAAGAAUCCGCCUGCCAAUGCAGGGGACACAGGUUCGAGCCCUGGUCCAGGAAGACCCCACAUGCCGCAGAGCAACUAAGCCCAUGUGCCACAACUACUGAGCCUGUGCUCUAGAGCUCGCGAGCCACAACUACUGGGCCUGCGUGCUACAACUACUGAAGCCCACGUGCCCAGAGCCCAUGCUCCACAACAAGAGAAGCCACAGCAAUGAGAAGCCUGUGCUGCAACAAAGAGUAGCCCCCAUUCACUGCAACUAGAGUAACAAAGACCCGAUGGAGCCAAAAAAAAACUACAAUGAGAUAUUACCUCACACCAGUCAGAAUGGCUAUCAUCAAAAAAUCCACAAACAGGUACUUCCCUGUUGGUCCAGUGGUUAAGACUCCGUGCUUCUAAUGCAGGUGGCAUGGGUUUGAACUAGGAUCCCACAUGCUGUGAGGCUUAAAAAAAUAAAAAAGAUCCACAAACAAUAAAUGCUGGAGAGGGUGUGGAAAGAAGGGAACCCUCCUACACUGUUGGUGGGAAUGUAAAUUGGUGCAGCCACUAUGGAAAACAGUAUGGACGUUCCUUAAGAAACUAAAACUAGAGCUACCACAUGAUCCUGCAAUCCCACUCUUGGGCAUAUACCCAGAGAAAAACAUGGUCCCAAAGAAUACAUGGACCCCAAUGUUCAUUGCAGUGCUGUUUACAAUAGCCAAGACAUGGAAGCAACCUAAAUGUCCAUUGAUACAAGAAUGGAUAAAGAAGAUAUGGCACAUAUAUACAAUGGAUGGGCUUCCCUGGUGGCGCAGUGGUUAAGAAUCUGCCUGCCAAUGCAGGGGACAUGGGUUCGAGCCCUGGUCUGGGAAGAUCCCACAUGCUACAGAGCAACUAAGCCCAUGCAUCACAACUACUGAGCCUGUGCUCUAGAGCCUGAGCCACAACUGCUGAAGCCUGCGCACCUAGAGCCUGUGCGCUGCAACAAGGGAAGCCACUGCAAUGAGAAGCUUGCACACCACAACAAAGAGUAGGCCCCACUCGCAACUUGAGAAAGCCCGCACACAGCAACAAAGAUCCAAUGCAGCCAAAAAUAAAUAAAUAAAAUAAAUUUAUUAAAAAAAAUAAAGAGGGGCAUUUUAUAAAGAUAAAGAGUCAGUAUAUCAGGAAAUGACAGCAGUUCUGUGAGAGAGAUUUAUACCUAUAAAUGCAUACAUUAAAAAAGAAGAAAGAUCUCAGUAACCUACCUGGACACCUUAAGGAAUUAGAAGAACAAACUAAACACAAAGCUGGUAGAAGGAAGGAAAUAACAAAGAUUAAAGCAGAGAUAAGUGAAAUAGAGAAAAGAAAAGAAAAUAGAGAAAUUCAAUGAAACCAAAAGUCAGUUCUUUGAAAAGAUCAAUAAAAUCGACAAACUUCAGCUAAGGGAAAAAAAAAAGACUAAAAAAAAAAGAAGACUAAAAUGACUAAAAUUGGAAAUAAAAGUGAAGACAUUACUACCAAUUAUACAGAAAUAAAAAGGAUUAUAAGAGAAUACUAUGAACAGUUGUAUGCCAACAAAUUGGAUGACCAAGAGCAAAUAUUAUACUCAAUAGUGAAAGAACUAAAAAGCUUUCCCCUAAGAUCAGAAAUGAGACAGCAUGCCCAGUUUUGUCACUUCUACUGGAAGUUUUAGCCAGAGCAAUUAGACAAGAAAAAGAAAUAAAAGCCAUCCAAAUUGGAAAGGAAGAAGUAAAAUCAUCUCUAUUCACAGAUGACAUGAUCUUAAAUGUAGAAAACCCUAUAUAUUCCAUACACACACAAAAAUGUUAAUAAACAAAUUUAGCAAAGUUUCAGGAUACAAAAGUCAACACAAAAAUCAGUUGCAUUUUAUACACUAGCACUAAACAAUAUGAAAAGGAAAUUAAGGGGAAAAAUUCCACUUACAAUAAUAUACAGAAGAAUAAAAUAUUUAGGAAUAAACCUAACCAAGGAGGUGAAACACUUGUAUGCUGAGACCUAAACCAUUGCUGAGGGGACUUCCCUGGUGAUCCAGUGGUUAAGACUCUGUGCUUCCAGUGCAGGGGGUGUGGGUUCAAUCCCUAGUUAGGGAACUAAGAUCCCACAUGCUAUGUGGCAUGGCCAAUCAAUCAACCAAUCAAUCAUUGCUGAAAAGAAUUAAGAUAUAAAUAAAUGCAAAGUUCUAUGGUCUGAAUGUUUGUAUUCCCCAAAUUUCAUACAGUAAAAUCCCACGAGCGACUUCCCUGGUAGCGCAGUGGUUAAGACUCCGUGCUCCCAAUGCAGGGGGCCCAGGUUCAAUCCCUGGUCAGGGAACUAGAUCCCACAUGCAUGCCACAACUAAGAGUUUGCAUGCCACAACUAAGGAGCCCACAUGCCGCAACUAAGGAGCCCGCCUACUUCAACUAAGACCCAGUGCAACGAAAUAAAUAAAUAAAUAUAUAAAAGAAAUAAUCAUUUAAAAAAUAAACUAAAAAAUAAAA